This 813-nucleotide ribosomal RNA is filed under the name uncultured Enterobacter sp. RNAcentral describes it as "bacterial SSU rRNA". It matches the Rfam family "Bacterial small subunit ribosomal RNA", at positions 27 to 828 of the family's 1533-position model. The record is from RNAcentral. Lineage: Bacteria; Pseudomonadati; Pseudomonadota; Gammaproteobacteria; Enterobacterales; Enterobacteriaceae.
GAUUGAACGCUGGCGGCAGGCCUAACACAUGCAAGUCGAACGGUAACAGGAAGCAGCUUGCUGCUUUGCUGACGAGUGGCGGACGGGUGAGUAAUGUCUGGGAAACUGCCUGAUGGAGGGGGAUAACUACUGGAAACGGUAGCUAAUACCGCAUAACGUCGCAAGACCAAAGAGGGGGACCUUCGGGCCUCUUGCCAUCGGAUGUGCCCAGAUGGGAUUAGCUAGUAGGUGGGGUAACGGCUCACCUAGGCGACGAUCCCUAGCUGGUCUGAGAGGAUGACCAGCCACACUGGAACUGAGACACGGUCCAGACUCCUACGGGAGGCAGCAGUGGGGAAUAUUGCACAAUGGGCGCAAGCCUGAUGCAGCCAUGCCGCGUGUAAGAAGAAGGCCUUCGGGUUGUAAAGUACUUUCAGCGGGGAGGAACGCGAUAAGGUUAAUAACCUUGUCGAUUGAUGUUACCCGCAGAAGAAGCACCGGCUAACUCCGUGCCAGCAGCCGCGGUAAUACGGAGGGUGCAAGCGUUAAUCCUCAUUACUGCGCGUGUAGCGCACGCACGCGGUCUGUCAAGUCGGGAUGUGAGAUCCCCGGGCUCAACCUGGCAACUGCAUUCUAAACUGGCAGGCUAUAGUCUUGUAGAGGGGGGUAGAAUUCCAGGUGUAGCGGAGACAUGCGUCGUGAUCUGGAGGAAUACCGGUGGCGAAGGCAGCCCCCUGGACAAAGACUGACGCUCAGGUGCGAAAGCGUGUGGAGAAAACAGGAGUAGAUACUCUGUUAGUCCACGCCGUAAACGAUGUCUACUUGAAGAUUGUA